CGGUCGCGAAGAAGGAGGGUAACUCUGUCCUUAUCUUCGGUAUUGUAUGUGAUUAUUUGACUUUGUACUUGUGAGCAUCUGGUGUUGUCUGUGAAUGCCUGAAUUGGCCAUAUUCUGUUUGUUGGUUGUUGUGAGUAAAUACCUGUUUUGGUUGUAUUCUGUUUGUUGAAAAGUUGUUCUUUUAAGCCGGUUCAUUGACU
RNAcentral lists this long non-coding RNA (200 nucleotides) under Nicotiana benthamiana. Its description in RNAcentral is "long non-coding RNA (NBEN_LNC000015)". The record is from RNAcentral. Lineage: Eukaryota; Viridiplantae; Streptophyta; Magnoliopsida; Solanales; Solanaceae.